CCCUUAGAUGUUCUGGGCCGCACGCGUGCUACACUGAGUGGAUCAGCGGGUCAGGUUGCGCGAAAGUGUUUCCUAAUCUUUAAAUCCGCUCGUGAUGGGGAUUGACGGUUGCAAUUUUCCGGCAUGAACGAGGAAUACCUUGUAAGCGCGGGUCAUCAUCCCGCGCUGAAUACGUCCCUGCCCUUUGUACACACCGCCCGUCGCUCCUACCGAUUGAGUGGUCCGGUGAGGCUUUGGGAUCUGAGCGGAAAGAGCGUUUCGCUGUUUCUGCCCGGAAAACUCAGUCGAACCUUAUCAUUUAGAGGAAGGAGAAGUCGUAACA
Molecule: ribosomal RNA, 322 nt
Filed under: uncultured eukaryote
Lineage: Eukaryota
Description: partial 18S ribosomal RNA
Rfam family: Eukaryotic small subunit ribosomal RNA
Source: RNAcentral